UACGAAGGGGGCUAGCGUUGUCCGGAAUCAUUGGGCGUAAAGAGCGUGUAGGCGGUCCGGUAAGUCCGCUGUGAAAGUCGGGGGCUCAACCCUCGAAUGCCGGUGGAUACUGUCGGGCUAGAGUGCGGAAGAGGCGAGUGGAAUUCCUGGUGUAGCGGUGAAAUGCGCAGAUAUCAGGAGGAACACCUAUUGCGAAGGCAGCUCGCUGGGACGUAACUGACGCUGAGACGCGAAAGCGUGGGGAGCAAACAGG
This 253-nucleotide ribosomal RNA is filed under the name uncultured bacterium. Its description in RNAcentral is "partial 16S ribosomal RNA". It matches the Rfam family "Bacterial small subunit ribosomal RNA", at positions 524 to 776 of the family's 1533-position model. The record is from RNAcentral.